Molecule: ribosomal RNA, 584 nt
Filed under: uncultured bacterium
Lineage: Bacteria
Description: partial 16S ribosomal RNA
Rfam family: Bacterial small subunit ribosomal RNA
Source: RNAcentral
UGGGGAAUUUUGGACAAUGGGCGAAAGCCUGAUCCAGCAAUGCCGCGUGCGUGAAGAAGGCCUUCGGGUUGUAAAGCACUUUUGUCCGGAAAGAAAUCCUUGGCUCUAAUACAGUCGGGGGAUGACGGUACCGGAAGAAUAAGCACCGGCUAACUACGUGCCAGCAGCCGCGGUAAUACGUAGGGUGCAAGCGUUAAUCGGAAUUACUGGGCGUAAAGCGUGCGCAGGCGGUUUGCUAAGACCGAUGUGAAAUCCCCGGGCUCAACCUGGGAACUGCAUUGGUGACUGGCAGGCUAGAGUAUGGCAGAGGGGGGUAGAAUUCCACGUGUAGCAGUGAAAUGCGUAGAGAUGUGGAGGAAUACCGAUGGCGAAGGCAGCCCCCUGGGCCAAUACUGACGCUCAUGCACGAAAGCGUGGGGAGCAAACAGGAUUAGAUACCCUGGUAGUCCACGCCCUAAACGAUGUCAACUAGUUGUUGGGGAUUCAUUUCCUUAGUAACGUAGCUAACGCGUGAAGUUGACCGCCUGGGGAGUACGGUCGCAAGAUUAAAACUCAAAUGAAUUGACGGGGUCAUAGCUGUUUCC